UACGAAGGUCCCAAGCGUUAUCCGGAUUUAUUGGGUUUAAAGGGUGCGUAGGUGGGUUGGUAAGUCAGUGGUGAAAUCUCCAGGCUUAACUUGGAAACUGCCAUUGAUACUAUCAAUCUUGAAUACCGUGGAGGUCAGCGGAAUAUGUCAUGUAGCGGUGAAAUGCUUAGAUAUGACAUAGAACACCAAUUGCGAAGGCAGCUGGCUACACGAAUAUUGACACUGAUGCACGAAAGCGUGGGGAUCAAACAGG
Molecule: ribosomal RNA, 253 nt
Filed under: uncultured bacterium
Lineage: Bacteria
Description: partial 16S ribosomal RNA
Rfam family: Bacterial small subunit ribosomal RNA
Source: RNAcentral